GUACGGGAGGCAGCAGUGGGGAAUAUUGGACAAUGGGCGAAAGCCUGAUCCAGCAAUGCCGCGUGAAUGAUGAAGGCCCUAGGGUUGUAAAGUUCUUUUAGCAGGGAAGAUAAUGACGGUACCUGCAGAAAAAGCCCCGGCUAACUCCGUGCCAGCAGCCGCGGUAAGACGGAGGGGGCUAGCGUUGUUCGGAAUUACUGGGCGUAAAGAGCGCGUAGGCGGUCUAGUAAGUUGGGAGUGAAAGCCCGGGGCUUAACCUCGGAAUUGCUUUCAAAACUGCUAGUCUAGAGUGUAGUAGGGGAUGAUGGAAUUCCUAGUGUAGAGGUGAAAUUCUUAGAUAUUAGGAGGAACACCGGUGGCGAAGGCGGUCAUCUGGGCUACAACUGACGCUGAUGCGCGAAAGCGUGGGGAGCAAACAGGAUUAGAUACCCCGGUAGU
Molecule: ribosomal RNA, 438 nt
Filed under: uncultured bacterium
Lineage: Bacteria
Description: bacterial SSU rRNA
Rfam family: Bacterial small subunit ribosomal RNA
Source: RNAcentral